UCAGGGGAGCAAGCGAGGGAGAGAAAACCAUUUCUAAGCCGUUUUCUCAUCCCUUUCCAACAGGGGCAGUGCACCUGUUUGCGGCGGGGGCUGGGCGGGGGUCCCGGCCUGGCGCUCGCCUCCCCCAGCCCGGGCACCUCGGCUGGCCCCGCUCGCUGCGGGCUCCCCCCGGCCCGUCGGGGCUGGCAGCGCCCGCUCCCCUCCGCGGCCCCUGGCUGUCGAGCGCUGCUGCUCCUCCCCGUGCGACGCUUCUGCCUGCUGGGGCAUCCUCGGUGAUGCUCUGAAGCAUGGUCCCCACCGUCCCCCCGCAGUGGCACUGCCCCAAAGCAUCAGGCGCACCCAUGGGACGUGUCAUCCCUUGGGGAACACCAGGACGAGCUGUCAGAAGUGGGCAGCUGGCAGCUGUCAGAAGUGGGCAGUUCUCCAGCAUGGUCAUUCACAUGUUCCAGCUCCUUGGUCUUCCACAUCUUGAAAGUCAUCUCCUAAGGAAGAGGCACUUUUCUGUCCAGUGUUUGCUACCAGACUGAUCUUGGCUAGCAUCCCUAAAAGCUGUGGGUUGUGAGAGGCCAGGCCAACAAAGAAGUUUAAUAAGGUAAUUAGUAAUUCAGCUACUUCUUUUUAUUUCUCCUCUGUGGCAACUUGCUACUCUUGACCUUUUUUUCAAAUCUUUCCUUGCUUGUUCCUCCCCAGAAGGACUUUCUGGCUUCCAAGCACUAUGCUCAAUAUGCAAGGCUAGAAGUUCCACUACCAACAUGUUCCCCCACGUGUUAUUUAUUAUUCAUAAACCUCCCGGGUUUCAGUGUCACUCUGAGUUAGCACAAUUUUUCAUAUGGUUGUUUAGCACUUUGCAACGUGGCACAUAUUCAGUAAGAGGAGACUUUUUAAACAUGCACACACACACACACACACAUACAGAAUAAGGUCAUUAGCAUAUUCUGAAUGUUCAAGUCCAACUCUUUGGAAAAAAAUAUUUGAAAACACAGUAAUAAAGUUGUUACAUUCAUAAUAAUAAACA
This 1015-nucleotide long non-coding RNA is filed under the name Anser cygnoides (Swan goose). RNAcentral's name for it is "lncRNA (ENSACDG00005004517.1)". The record is from RNAcentral. Lineage: Eukaryota; Metazoa; Chordata; Aves; Anseriformes; Anatidae.